This is a long non-coding RNA of Haemorhous mexicanus (house finch), 1746 nucleotides long. RefSeq lists it as uncharacterized. The record is from RefSeq and is a predicted model, not a curated record. NCBI's taxonomy places the organism in Eukaryota, Metazoa, Chordata, Aves, Passeriformes, Fringillidae. The transcript has 2 exons.
UUUGCCCUCAAAGAGCUACAGAGACCUUUUCCAAACCAACCCCAGGGUUAGGUUAGUCCUGCUCCCUUCUGCUUUCGGGGAUUGAAAUCCUCCACCCUUAUCUCACCCUUAUCUCACUGUCUCCUUUUAUUCACCUGUUUUGGCAUCCUGUCCCUGGCCAGCAGGUCCUGACUCGAGGAUGUGCCCAGUAAUUCUGCACGGUGGAGCGUUCCCAGAGAUGGCGCUAGGAUUAGGGGAAAACCUCUUCCCUCGCUGCUGUGAUUCCGGAGAGGAGAUAAUGGGAUUACCCGCCAAGUCCCUCUGAUGCAGAGCCUACACGGGAGGAACGAUUCCGCAUUGUUUUGUCUCCCCGUGGAUUCCCACACCCUGCCAGAGACACACCUGGAGAUGUUCUGCCUCUGUUCAGGGAUUUUUCAGUUAUUUUCCCCCCUGAUUUCCGUGUGUAGUCACCACAGAGAUUAAAAGAGGGCCUUUACCCAAGGGACUGCAGGAAGGGCAUCCUGAAAGUGUUUAGAAAUGGGGGGAACAGUUCCCCUGCCGGGAAUCCUGGAGCCAAAUAUCAAAUGUAAGGAAUGGGGUGAAGGGAUUGGGAGGGUGUGGAACUGUCCCCAGGUGGGGAUCCCCCCCAGGCAGCGUGCAGACCCUGUUUGACAAAUCCUGCCCAUGGCACAACUCCAACCUAUUCUGCAGAAAGCAUGGCCCUGGCAGGUGCUGAUGGCAGCAAAACAAAUGUGGAAUAGGUUGUGAUAAAGGGAGUUCUCCUGGGAAGUGGAAAAAGCAGCGAUAAAUAUCUUGGAAGGGUUGGAUCACAGGAAGAGUGAAGAUGUGUUUGUUGGAGCACUUGGGGACCCUCCUCCAAUGCAUCACAUGUUUCAUCUGGGGGCCUGAUGGAAGCCUAAGAUUUCAGUUUAGUUUGUUUUCUUUUUUUCUUCUCAGCAUUCUCCUCUCCAAAGAUAGACAUUUGCCUGUCCCAAGGAGUCACAAUAAAUUCGGUUUUAUUUUGGGACCUCUGUUCUGAACGUGGUGAAGGAAGAUGCGAUUUCUUCCCCUCUCAGCUGAUCUGGGUUAGAACCAGGUGGCUCCAUCUCCUCCUUAUCUCUGGCUCCUUCUGCUGCCAGGUACCUUCCUGCCCAACCUUUUCCUCAGUGUCUGCUUCCCAAGCAUUCACAGCCACAGCCAGGCCUCAGACUUCUCCAUCUUCCCCUGGAGCAGCAGCCACGCUGUGUAGGGCCUGACUCCCUGCCAGGGCUCCCCUCCUGCUCUCCCCAGGAUGCUCUGAACCCCAGCCCCCUUUUGCUGAGCUCCACACAUGCCAUUUGCUCCCAGCAGCUCGGUGACAGGAGCUGUCACCGCCUGGCUCUGGCUGCUGCCAAGGAACGGGGUUUUCACCCAAAACCUCCCUGGCAAACGGCACGGGAGCCACGGCCCAGCCCAGCUGGGGACACUGGCAGGGAGGAGAGCAGGAGGGAGCUGUGUAAUUAAAGAUGGAAAAGCCAUCCCUGCUGCCUUUGCCGUGCAGCAUGAAAUAAGAGCGAGGCUGAGGGGCUGGCUGCCGGCGAUCCGGCUGUGGCAGCGUGAAAAAUGAGGAGGAGCGCGAUAAGAAACUAAUAAUUUAUGUUCCAAGCACAGCCUCGCACCAGCGUGGAGGGAAAUUCAUGCCAAUAACUCCUACUAACUCAGAAAGGCACGCAAUCUUUUAUUGCACAAAUUAUUAACGACCAGGAAAUAAAUGACUCUGUAAUCAGA